AUCAACUUUCGAUGGUAGGAUAGAGGCCUACCAUGGUGGUAACGGGUAACGGGGUGUUAGGGCACGACACCGGAGAGGGAGCCUGAGAAACGGCUACCACAUCCAAGGAUGGCAGCAGGCGCGCAAAUUACCCAAUCCCGACACGGGGAGGUAGUGACAAUAAAUAACAAUACGGGGUUCUUUCGGAUUUCGUAAUUGGAAUGAGUACAAUUUAAAUCUCUUAACGAGGAACAAUUGGAGGGCAAGUCUGGUGCCAGCAGCCGCGGUAAUUCCAGCUCCAAUAGCGUAUAUUAAAGUUGCUGCAGUUAAAAAGCUCGUAGUUGAAUUUCGGGACCAAUAUGUCGGUCGUGCCUCGGUACGUACUGGCAUCGUUGGUUUCUCCCUUCUGACGAACCAUGAUGUCAUUUAUUUGGCGUCGUGGGGAAUCAGGACUGUUACUUUGAAAAAAUUAGAGUGUUUAAAGCAGGCUCACGCUUGAAUACAUUAGCAUGGAAUAAUGAAAUAGGACGUUUGAUUCUAUUUUGUUGGUUUCUAGGAUCGACGUAAUGAUUAAUAGGGAUAGUUGGGGGCAUUAGUAUUCAAUUGUCAGAGGUGAAAUUCUUGGAUUUAUUGAAGACUAACUACUGCGAAAGCAUUUGCCAAGGAUGUUUUCAUUAAUCAAGAACGAAAGUUAGGGGAUCGAAGACGAUCAGAUACCGUCGUAGUCUUAACCAUAAACUAUGCCGACUAGGGAUCGGAUGAUGUUAAUUUUUUAAUGACUCAUUCGGCGCCUUACGGGAAACCAAAGUGUUUGGGUUC
Molecule: ribosomal RNA, 798 nt
Filed under: uncultured Glomus
Lineage: Eukaryota; Fungi; Glomeromycota; Glomeromycetes; Glomerales; Glomeraceae
Description: SSU rRNA
Rfam family: Eukaryotic small subunit ribosomal RNA
Source: RNAcentral